GUAGCUUCUCUGCUUUUGGCCAGGAUCAAGAGUAGUCUCUACUGCCGGUUUAGCAUCCGAUAUGUUUUCCAUUCAAGGACAGCAUAUUAAAUGGCCUUUUGGAGCAGGAGAUGGAAUAGGAGCUUGCUCUGUCCACUCCAUGCAUAGACCUGGCAUUGCACAACCUCCAGGAAUGGUGCAUCCCUU
Small nuclear RNA from Heterocephalus glaber (naked mole-rat), 186 nucleotides. Its record names the gene U2. It matches the Rfam family "U2 spliceosomal RNA". Rfam says of the family: U2 is a small nuclear RNA (snRNA) component of the spliceosome (involved in pre-mRNA splicing). Complementary binding between U2 snRNA (in an area lying towards the 5' end but 3' to hairpin I) and the branchpoint sequence (BPS) of the intron results the bulging out of an unpaired adenosine, on the BPS, which initiates a nucleophilic attack at the intronic 5' splice site, thus starting the first of two transesterification reactions that mediate splicing. Lineage: Eukaryota; Metazoa; Chordata; Mammalia; Rodentia; Bathyergidae. The record is from Ensembl.